Molecule: long non-coding RNA, 758 nt
Filed under: Homo sapiens (human)
Lineage: Eukaryota; Metazoa; Chordata; Mammalia; Primates; Hominidae
Description: non-protein coding lnc-NETO1-2:2
Source: RNAcentral
GAUUUGUCUUUUCCUAAUUAGUCUUGGCACAGAUUAUUCUGUUUCAUUAUCUUUUUCAUUUUGCCUUUGUUGAUCAUCUCUGUGUUGUCUGUUGUUUGUCUCUGAUUCACUGAUUAUUGUCCUUAUCUUUAUUAUUUAUUCUGGUCUCUCUGUUUUUUGUUUGUUUGUUUGUUUGUUUGUUUUUUGUUUUGAGAUGGAGCUAGAUUCUGUAGCUAGCAAAGAAGACAAAAAGGAAAAAUAUAUGUCAGAUGUGUUUAAUCUGGCUGCCAAAUGCAGGUAUCACAUUCUAUUUAAACAUAGGUUAUUUCUGCUUGUUGAAGCAAAUUUAUUAAUCUUGCUUUUUUUUUUUUCCGAAAUGAACUGGCAUCGUUGCUUGUAUUUUUCAGGAAACCUCUGUGGUAGCUUGUCUUUAGAGCAUGCUCAUAUUAUUCCCACAAUGAUAGGUGAGGCCUGUUCCUCCAGGCCCUGAAUCUAAGCUAGCUUGUUGACCAAGAUAGUGGGACAUCUUGUUGUGCUGUCAAAUUGUUUGUAACACAACUGAUAAAUGUUUUGGGGGAUGGAUACCCCAUUCUCCGUGAUGUGCUUAUUUCACAUUGCUUGCCUGUAUCAAAACAUCCCUUGUGUCCCAUAAAUAUAUACACCUACCAUGUACCCACAAAAAUUAAAAAUUUAAGAAAAUGGGAGAAUGCGGCAGAAAUUACACUGGGCUGACUGUGGACCCAGUCUCCAAGAUGAUUGGCCACUUCUACUUUCUUUUU